UCUCAAGCAUAAUAAGGGCAUCUGGUGGAUGCCUUGGCGUCAAGAGGCGAUGAAAGACGUGGCACUCUGCGAUAAGCUACGGUGAGCCGAGAGCAGGCUUUGACCCGUAGAUUUCUGAAUGGGGAAACCCCACCCAAUAGGGUGAUCCUGUCGUGAAUACAUAGCGGCAGGAGGCGAACCCGGUGAACUGAAACAUCUCAGUAACCGGAGGAAAGGACAUCAACCGAGACUUCGCUAGUAGCGGCGAGCGAACGCGAACCAGGCCAGUGGCUUAUGCAUAAGAACCGGAACGAUCUGGAAAGGUCGGCCAUAGUGGGUGAUAGCCCCGUACGGGUAGAAAUUGCAUAAGUCCUCGAGUAGGGCGGGACACGUGAAAUCCUGUCUGAACAUGGGGGGACCACCCUCCAAGCCUAAGUACUCCUUGACGACCGAUAGUGUACCAGUACCGUGAGGGAAAGGUGAAAAGCACCCCGAUAAGGGGAGUGAAAUAGUUCCUGAAACCGGAUGCCUACAAGCAGUUGGAGCCUCUUUAUGGGGUGACAGCGUACCUCUUGCAUAAUGGGUCAGCGAGUUAGUCUUACAAGCAAGCUUAAGCCGAUAGGUGUAGGCGCAGCGAAAGCGAGUCUUAAUAGGGCGAUUGAGUUUGUGGGAUUAGACCCGAAACCAGGUGAUCUAGCCAUGAGCAGGUUGAAGGUGAUGUAACAGUCACUGGAGGACCGAACCCACGUCUGUUGAAAAAGACGGGGAUGACUUGUGGUUAGGGGUGAAAGGCCAAUCAAACCUGGAGAUAGCUGGUUCUCCGCGAAAUCUAUUUAGGUAGAGCGUCAGACGAAUACCAUCGGGGGUAGAGCACUGAAUGGGCUAGGGGGCCUUACCGGCUUACCAAACCUAAUCAAACUCCGAAUACCGAUGAGUACUAUCUGGCAGACAGACUACGGGUGCUAAGGUCCGUGGUCGAGAGGGAAACAGCCCAGACCGCCAGUUAAGGUCCCAAAGUUGUGGCUAAGUGGGAAAGGAUGUAGGACGGCCAAGACAACCAGGACGUUGGCUUAGAAGCAGCCAUCGUUUAAAGAAAGCGUAACAGCUCACUGGUCUAAAUAAGCUGUCCCGCGCCGAAGAUGUACCGGGGCUCAAGCCACACACCGAAACUGCGGACUUGUUCUUUGAACAAGUGGUAGCGGAGCGUUCCGUAAGCCUGUGAAGGUGUGCCGUAAGGCAUGCUGGAGGUAUCGGAAGCGAGAAUGCUGACAUGAGUAGCGAUAAAGGGAGUGAGAACCUCCCUCGCCGAAAGCCCAAGGGUUCCUGCGCAAGGCCAAUCCGCGCAGGGUGAGUCGGCCCCUAAGACGAGGCAGAAAUGCGUAGUCGAUGGGAAACAGGUUAAUAUUCCUGUACCCGUGAGAAGUGACGGCCUCUGGAAGUAGUUUUUCCUUAUUGGAUUGGAGAAGCUGCCAAGGAGGUCCAGGAAAUAACUCUCACAUAUGGACCGUACCCCAAACCGACACAGGUGGGCAGGUUGAAUAUACCAAGGCGCUUGAGAGAAUGGUGUUGAAGGAACUCGGCAAAUUGCCCCCGUAACUUCGGGAGAAGGGGGCCCACCGUGAAGGCAACUUUACGGUGGGGGCACAGACUAGGGGGUGGCGACUGUUUACUAAAAACACAGGGCUCUGCGAAGUCGCAAGACGACGUAUAGGGUCUGACGCCUGCCCGGUGCCGGAAGGUUAAGAGGAGAUGUGCAAGCAUUGAAUUGAAGCCCCGGUAAACGGCGGCCGUAACUAUAACGGUCCUAAGGUAGCGAAAUUCCUUGUCGGGUAAGUUCCGACCUGCACGAAUGGCGUAACGACUUCCCCACUGUCUCCAACACCAACUCAGCGAAAUUGAAUUCUCCGUGAAGAUGCGGAGUACCCGCGGUCAGACGGAAAGACCCCGUGCACCUUUACUACAGCUUUGCAGUGGUAUCAGGAUGUGAAUGUGCAGAAUAGGUGGGAGGCUUUGAAGCCAUGGCGCCAGCCAUGGUGGAGCCACCUUUGAGAUACCACCCUUUUGCUUCCUGAUAUCUAACCGAGGUCCGUUAUCCGGAUCCGGGACCCUGCAUGGCGGGUAGUUUGACUGGGGCGGUCGCCUCCCAAAGAGUAACGGAGGCGCGCGAUGGUAGGCUCAGGCUGGUCGGACAUCAGCUUAAGAGUGCAAUGGCAAAAGCCUGCCUGACUGCGAGACUGACAAGUCGAGCAGAGACGAAAGUCGGUCAUAGUGAUCCGGUGGUCCCGCGUGGAAGGGCCAUCGCUCAACGGAUAAAAGGUACGCCGGGGAUAACAGGCUGAUACUCCCCAAGAGUCCACAUCGACGGGAGUGUUUGGCACCUCGAUGUCGGCUCAUCACAUCCUGGGGCUGGAGCAGGUCCCAAGGGUUUGGCUGUUCGCCAAUAAAGUGGUACGUGAGCUGGGUUUAGAACGUCGUGAGACAGUUCGGUCCCUAUCUGCCGUGGGCGUAGGAUACUUGAGAAGAGCUGUCCCUAGUACGAGAGGACCGGGAUGGACGCACCUCUGGUGUACCGGUUGUUCCGCCAGGAGCAUCGCCGGGUAGCUAAGUGCGGAAGGGAUAACCGCUGAAAGCAUCUAAGCGGGAAGCCCCCUUCAAGACUAGGUAUCCCUAUCAGAUCCCUGGAAGACCACCAGGUUGAUAGGCUGGGUGUGGAAGCGUGGCAACACGUGAAGCUAACCAGUACUAAUUGAUCGAUCGGCUUGAUUGA
This 2746-nucleotide ribosomal RNA is filed under the name Thalassospira sp. A40-3. RNAcentral describes it as "23S ribosomal RNA". It matches the Rfam family "Bacterial large subunit ribosomal RNA". The record is from RNAcentral. Lineage: Bacteria; Pseudomonadati; Pseudomonadota; Alphaproteobacteria; Rhodospirillales; Thalassospiraceae.